AAUGAUGGUAGAGGUGCGAACUUCAAUAGUAGCCAGUUUGAGGAGGAAUGGUCUCCAAUGACAGCUGGUAAAAGGGGAUGUUCGCCGAAGUAAGUAGGGCACCAUUUGCUUUACCUGCUGGUUUUACAUUUAAGAGAUGUAAAAUUGUCAAGAAAUAAUUUCUUGGAGAGCUAUCUCAUUG
This 181-nucleotide non-coding RNA is filed under the name Bacillus sp. (in: firmicutes). Its description in RNAcentral is "Bacillus sp. Lysine sequence". It matches the Rfam family "Lysine riboswitch aptamer". From Rfam's summary of the family: Riboswitches are metabolite binding domains within certain messenger RNAs that serve as precision sensors for their corresponding targets. Allosteric rearrangement of mRNA structure is mediated by ligand binding, and this results in modulation of gene expression. The record is from RNAcentral. Lineage: Bacteria; Bacillati; Bacillota; Bacilli; Caryophanales; Bacillaceae.